AAUUGAUAGACCUGCGUCCUUCUCUUUCUAUUUUAUUUCUUAAUAAAAGAUAUUAAUUUUCUUGAAUGAUAUAUACGGCUCAAAGAGAGCAAAUUACACUUUCAUCAUUUGGAGAAAGUAAUUGGAAGUUAGCAUUCACAAAUACAAUUAUAUUUCUUGGAAUGUGCAUGCAAUUUAUUCAGAUACAAGUUUUUAUCUCCCCCUUUACAAUAAACUCAUUAACUUGGUGGUUGGUAGCACAGGCAAAGACUCAAAUCACCAAACUAGUUUUCAACUAUAAUUGCAAAUUCCCGACCCAGCCUCAAGUUGUAGGUAGGGACUGACAGAGGGCUGUGUGAAUCCAUUCGGAUAUAUCCCACAAAUCUGAUAAGCUAGCUUCAUGUUACUGAAAUCGUUUUGGAGACUGAGAUUAUAUGAGUUUUAACUCUGAUGAGAGCUCGAUCAGGAAAUGUUCUGCUGUUGUCUAGUUGCAGUCCAUCGUAGUAGAGCCUCCUAGCUUAGCUUUGGACCAAACAGGGGUUACAGAGCCUGUUAUUGCAAUUAAUAAUUUCUUAAUUAUAUCUUUCACUUCUUUGCCUACGCAUCCUAGCUCCCCAAGACAUGUUCUCUCUCAGCUCCUCAUUGCAGUUCCUUUCUCUCUCUAACUCUGUGAGCUGAGACUCCCAUUGCUCUUUCCAGUCACCUCUCCCUUCCCUAACCUGAAUAAGAUCCGGAAAUCCCAUCAUCAAUUUCUGAUCAUGAUAAAGAAAUAAAAGGAAAAUGGUGAAACAAAACAUACCAUGUUGUAGUGGAAUUGUUUUCCGGCAAAGAGAGCCAUAUGCAAGCCUCUGUCAUACAGAGCUCUUCUUUUGGGGUCGGACAAGGUCUCAUAAGCCUCCUGA
This 881-nucleotide unclassified non-coding RNA is filed under the name Hevea brasiliensis (rubber tree). The record is from RNAcentral. Lineage: Eukaryota; Viridiplantae; Streptophyta; Magnoliopsida; Malpighiales; Euphorbiaceae.